UAUAUACUCCCUCCGUCCGGAAAUACUUGUCCUAGAAAUGAAUGAAUCUAGACUUAUUUUAGUUAUAGAUAUAUCCAUUUUUAGGACAAGUAUUUUCGGACGGAGGGAGUAUCAA
Molecule: microRNA precursor, 115 nt
Filed under: Hordeum vulgare
Lineage: Eukaryota; Viridiplantae; Streptophyta; Magnoliopsida; Poales; Poaceae
Description: microRNA MIR1122
Rfam family: MIR1120/MIR1122 microRNA precursor family
Source: RNAcentral